ACGGUACCAGAGGAAUCAGCCUCGGCUAACUCCGUGCCAGCAGCCGCUGGUAAUACGGAGGAGGCAAGCGUUAUCCUGGAAUUAUUUGGGCGUACAGCGUCCGUAGGUGGUUAUGCACGUCUGCUGUCAAAGCGUGGGGCUUAACUCCAUAGAGGCAGUGGAAACUGAGUGACUAGAGUGCGGUAGGGGUCGAGGGAAUUCCCAGUGUAGCGGUGAAAUGCGUAGAGAUCAGGAAGAACGUCGGUGGCGAAGGCGGACUCCUGGCCGAACACUGACGCUGACGUGCGACAGCGUGGGGAGCGAACGGGAUUCGAUAGCCCGGUAGUCCAACGACGUAAACGAUGGACAAUAGGUGUGGGCUCGGGAGACGGGUCCGUGCCGGAGCAAACGCAGUAAGUGUCCCGCCUGGCGAGUACGGUCGCAAGGCUGAUACUCAAAGGAAUUGACGGGGGCCCGCACAAGCGGUGGAGCAUGUGGUUUAAUUCGACGCAACGCGCAGAACCUUACCUGGGUUCGACAUGGCCG
Molecule: ribosomal RNA, 525 nt
Filed under: uncultured organism
Description: bacterial SSU rRNA
Rfam family: Bacterial small subunit ribosomal RNA
Source: RNAcentral